UGAAAUCUGGGUCAUGAUGGCCAUUCAAUAGUCAGGCUUGCUGUGCACGUCCAGAGCUUCAGGACAGCUAUUGGCCUGCAGCCCCUGAGUUUCAGCAGGGACGCAGUAUGAUUUCUAAGCAUUUCCCAUAUUCUGGUCUUCCUGUUGCUCUUGGGAGCCUCUAAGCAGAAGAGUGGAAGGGGGAGCGAUCCAAAGAUGACUUCUAUCCCUAGUCACUUACCCCUACUGACUCACUCAUCUCCUGCUGGGAUUCUAAAGCCAGGAUAAGUGGGUUGCGAUACAGGGAGCUAAGGAAGGAAGGAUUCCAGGUGAGGAGGACUGAAGGAACUGAAGGCUACCAGAGAAAACCAGAAAAUCAACCUGCUACACCAUAACCUCGUAUCUCACUGGACUCUAAGGCAACUGAGUUGGAUCGAAAUAAACCUUUAUUUCCCUUAUAUUUAUUUAUAUUUAUUUAUUUCCCCUUUAUUUGCCAUCACUGCCACCCAUCUUCUCAAAACACACACACACACACACACACACACACACACACACACACGUGUACAUUCAUUGAAGACCAAGGCCCUGACUCAUAUCCUUUUUCUCCAUCUCUAAAUCUGCCAUUACUUCCCUUAGAUC
Molecule: long non-coding RNA, 618 nt
Filed under: Callithrix jacchus (white-tufted-ear marmoset)
Lineage: Eukaryota; Metazoa; Chordata; Mammalia; Primates; Cebidae
Description: lncRNA (ENSCJAG00000080146.1)
Source: RNAcentral